GCCGGGUGUGAUGACUCGCGCCUGUAAUCCCAGCAAUUUGGGAGGCCGAGGCGGGAGGAUUGCUUGAGGCCAGGAGUUCAAGACCAGCCUGGCCAACAUGGCAAAACCCUGUCUCUA
Molecule: unclassified non-coding RNA, 117 nt
Organism: Papio anubis (olive baboon)
Lineage: Eukaryota; Metazoa; Chordata; Mammalia; Primates; Cercopithecidae
Rfam family: Metazoan signal recognition particle RNA
About the family: The signal recognition particle (SRP) is a universally conserved ribonucleoprotein. It is involved in the co-translational targeting of proteins to membranes.
Source: Ensembl